AUGCUGGUGAACAAGGGUGCGAGUGGCCUCUCCUCCAAGGUCCGCAUCGAGGAGGAUCACCCUGAUCAAUGGAAGACAGGCGUCUCGUUCCGCGUCCUACUGCAUGUCGACCGCGUGGAGGAUUUCACUGGAGCUCCGGUCUUGGACGGCGGUGAGCCGCUCACCAACUUCAGGCCCGUUUCGCACUCCCUGCCACAAUGCAACCUGGGCACCAUUGAUGGCCGGCCUGUUGGUGAGGGCUCGGGUUCCAUCCUUCCGGCCCCCAUCCCAGCUUUGGGCAAACUCAGCCCAGCCUAA
This 297-nucleotide ribosomal RNA is filed under the name Triticum aestivum (bread wheat). RNAcentral's name for it is "partial small subunit ribosomal RNA". The record is from RNAcentral. Lineage: Eukaryota; Viridiplantae; Streptophyta; Magnoliopsida; Poales; Poaceae.